AGUAGCUUUCACAUGURGUUUCCAGACUGAAGACAAGCAUUGGACAACAAAACUACUUUCUAAGUUAAAUUGAGACAUUGAGAUAUGAUGACUUCCCUUAAGUUGCUUUUGUUCUCGUGCAGUUUUCAUAUAAGUCUYUCAUGGGUCUCGAGUCUCGAGUGCAAAUACGAAUGCUGUCGAAACAAUGAAUGUGUUCAAAAGAACGAGACAAGGCAGUGCAACACGGAAGGCGCUCAAUGCUAUACAACAAGCUACGACGUCAUACAGACACCACUUCUAAACGCUGCGAAAAUGAGAGUGAAAUCUUGCUCCGAAACAAAACGUAUAUGUAACCAAGAGGAAUUUUGCAAGAAAAAAUCCAAGAUAUUUUCCAACGCAGGCUUUCCUAUCACAAACUGCGCUGUGAAAUGUUGCAAUACUGAUUUAUGCAAUGCAUAGCUACUGUGUCUAAAUAAUAACGAAGAACGAAUGCAGAGAUUUAUUAUAGUGAGUUUAUGAUAACAGCGGUAGUCAYGUGCUUAUUCUUGCAUGGAUGACUGACAGGAAGGCACCUGACAGCAAAGGACAAUUCSUUUUUCCUUGCUUAACAUUUCUGAUUUUCCAGACUUUUAAUGUAAUUUAUCUUCAUUGUUGAAGACAUUAUGUUACAUUAUAGUUUAUCUUUCUUAUAUUUCUCGUCAUAAUUGCUCGAUUUAUCUUUAUAGACAAGUUAUUCAGAAUUCAUGCAUUUCGGACCAACGGGGAAUCARGUGUCACAGAAUACUCCAUUUUACAGUUCCAAGCGCCAUCUUGAAAGGUAGCCGAGCCUUUGCAUCAAAGCGAGACAGUAAUUCAGCCUGCACUUAUAGAUACCUCAGUUUGUUCACAUCUAAGACAAUUAUUCACAGGUAUCUAUCAUUGAA
Molecule: long non-coding RNA, 902 nt
Organism: Exaiptasia diaphana
Lineage: Eukaryota; Metazoa; Cnidaria; Anthozoa; Actiniaria; Aiptasiidae
Exons: 3
Source: RefSeq, a predicted model, not a curated record